RNAcentral lists this transfer RNA (70 nucleotides) under Pteropus alecto (black flying fox). It matches the Rfam family "tRNA". From Rfam's summary of the family: Transfer RNA (tRNA) molecules are approximately 80 nucleotides in length. Their secondary structure includes four short double-helical elements and three loops (D, anti-codon, and T loops). The record is from Rfam by way of RNAcentral. Lineage: Eukaryota; Metazoa; Chordata; Mammalia; Chiroptera; Pteropodidae.
GGUUCCAUAGCACAGUUAGCGCGUCUGCUUUACACGCAGAAGGUCCUGGGUUCGCACCCCAGUGGAGCUA